AACAACCAAUGAGGCUUGAGGAUUGGGUGUUGAGGGACCACUUGUCACAUUCUCCAAGAUGGGUUUGUGUUAUGAUUAACAAUGCACUUUCUGUCGGCAGAUUGAGCCUGUGGACCGGCAGUCCAACAGGAGUGCAUCCCUCAGACCAUCUGGUGCAUGGACAUCCUGUGCCAGUGUGAUCCGAGAGCGAGUGUCCAGUUGUGGAGACUACAGCACAUCGAGCCUGUGGGCGGACAGAUAUGAGGCGUGACAUGGGGAACGUCAGGCUCACCCCACGAGAAGCAGUGCUUGAUCAACACCACCCUCAGCAAGGAGAUCUGCUGGAAGUGAUGUACUCUCUCUUACACUCUGGGUGCCAACGUUGGGAGCAUGCGGUCUUUGAAAACUCCUCAAGUCCAGCAAUAUGAGUCUGCCAGAGGUCGUCACGCUGGAUGCGGAUGGUGAUGGAGGCUUUGGUGGUCCACACAACCAAGAUGAUGUCCCUUCCAGUGAUGUGGCGUUGCCCUUUGACCUGAUGCAAGUAUACUUGACCACCAGCACCACUGUGGUGCCCACCAGACCAUCCGGUGAGGCACCCAGGAUCCCAGACCCUGUGACCUGGGUUACAGGUCCUCCACUGACUGCACCUGGUUGGUCACGGUUUGCUUCCUCCACUCACAUUACAUAUCUUUUACAGACGAUAUUGUGAACCGCAAUAAUAGCCCGUGUAGCUGCAUGGCUACACUUAUGAGCUCCACAAGGC
Molecule: long non-coding RNA, 742 nt
Organism: Oncorhynchus tshawytscha (Chinook salmon)
Lineage: Eukaryota; Metazoa; Chordata; Actinopteri; Salmoniformes; Salmonidae
Source: Ensembl